RNAcentral lists this ribosomal RNA (116 nucleotides) under Bacillus paranthracis. The record is from RNAcentral. Lineage: Bacteria; Bacillati; Bacillota; Bacilli; Caryophanales; Bacillaceae.
UUUGGUGAUGACGGCAGAGAGGUCACACCCGUUCCCAUACCGAACACGGAAGUUAAGCUCUCUAGCGCCGAUGGUAGUUGGGACCUUGUCCCUGUGAGAGUAGGACGUCGCCAAGC